Molecule: ribosomal RNA, 237 nt
Filed under: uncultured bacterium
Lineage: Bacteria
Description: partial 16S ribosomal RNA
Rfam family: Bacterial small subunit ribosomal RNA
Source: RNAcentral
GAUCAUGGCUCAGGAUGAACGCUAGCUACAGGCUUAACACAUGCAAGUCGAGGGGAAACGAUAUUGGAAGCUUGCUUCCGAUAGGCGUCGACCGGCGCACGGGUGAGUAACGCGUAUCCAACCUGCCCAUCACUUGGGGGAUAACCUUGCGAAAGUAAGACUAAUACCCAAUGACGUCUCUAGAAGACAUCUGAAAGAGAUUAAAAGAUUUUAAUCGGUUGAUGGAUGGGGAUGCGU